UAGUCCACGCCCUAAACGAUGAUCACUCGACAUAUGCGAUAUACUGUAUGUGUCCUAGCGAAAGCGUUAAGUGAUCCACCUGGGGAGUACGUUCGCAAGAAUGAAACUCAAAGGAAUUGACGGGGGUCCGCACAAGCGGAGGAGCAUGUGGUUUAAUUCGAUGAUACGCGAGGAACCUUACCUGGGCUAGAAUGCUUUGGAUCGCUUGGGAAACCAGGCUUUCUCUUCGGAGACCGAUUGCAAGGUGCUGCAUGGUUGUCGUCAGCUCGUGCCGUGAGGUGUUGGGUUAAGUCCCGCAACGAGCGCAACCCCUAUCCUUAGUUGCCAUCAGGUAAUGCUGGGGACUCUAAGGAAACUGCCUACGCAAGUAGUGAGGGAAGGGAGGGGGACGACGGUUAAAUCAUCAUGGGGCCUUUAUGUCCAGGGGCUACACACGUGCUACAAUGGCCAGUACAAA
RNAcentral lists this ribosomal RNA (457 nucleotides) under uncultured bacterium. RNAcentral describes it as "bacterial SSU rRNA". It matches the Rfam family "Bacterial small subunit ribosomal RNA", at positions 791 to 1243 of the family's 1533-position model. The record is from RNAcentral.